ACUCUCCAGGUUCCUUACCCCUCGGAUCUAAAUAUUGGUGUGAGUGGCUAAAAGAUGAGGGAAAGUAGAAUGGAGGUGGACGUGGAGGCUUUACUGAAUACGAGUUUAUUUCAAACAUAU
Molecule: small nucleolar RNA, 120 nt
Filed under: Echinops telfairi (small Madagascar hedgehog)
Lineage: Eukaryota; Metazoa; Chordata; Mammalia; Afrosoricida; Tenrecidae
Description: Small nucleolar RNA SNORA61 (ENSETEG00000025347.1)
Source: RNAcentral